GACGAACGCUGGCGGCGUGCUUAACACAUGCAAGUCGAACGGUGAAGCACCUUCCUUUUGGUGGGUGUGGAUGAGUGGCGAACGGGUGAGUAACACGUGAGUAACCUGCCCCCUUCUUCUGGAUAACCGCAUGAAAGUGUGGCUAAUACGGGAUAUUCUGUGCCUGCUGCAUGGUGGGUGUGGGAAAGAUGCGCUUUUGGGUGUUUUUGGUGGGGGAUGGGCUCGCGGCCUAUCGGCUUGUGGGUGGGGUGAUGGCCUACCAAGGCGGUGACGGGUAGCCGGCCUGAGAGGGUGGACGGUCACACUGGGACUGAGACACGGCCCAGACUCCUACGGGAGGCAGCAGUGGGGAAUAUUGCACAAUGGGCGCAAGCCUGAUGCAGCGACGCCGCGUGAGGGAUGGAGGCCUUCGGGUUGUAAACCUCUUUCGCCAGUGAAGCAGGCCUGUCCCUUGUGGGUGGGUUGACGGUAGCUGGAUAAGAAGCGCCGGCUAACUACGUG
RNAcentral lists this ribosomal RNA (501 nucleotides) under uncultured bacterium. RNAcentral describes it as "partial 16S ribosomal RNA". It matches the Rfam family "Bacterial small subunit ribosomal RNA", at positions 28 to 507 of the family's 1533-position model. The record is from RNAcentral.